CUAUUUUGUGAUUUAAUGAUUUAUUAAAAUUCGAGAAAAUAGUCUCUUUAUUUUUAUUCUUGAAUUUAUGUGUAGGGGAUUUCAGGAAGUUCGAAAUUGCGCCUAGAUCAGAUUUUUAUUAUUGAGUUGAUAAUGAAUAUUUACGUAUCAUUUUUAUUUGGGCCUUAGGAUGUAUUAAUUUGCUGUAUUUAAAAAUAUUGGGCUUAAGUAUAUGUUAGCGGGCUAGGUAUAAGAUUUAUUUAAUUUAUCUGAUAAAUAACUAUAGUAGCGUGUUCACAGAAACAGUUCUGAAAAUCUUUUAUAAAAUUCGUCUAACCUAGCGGUUUCUACGAAUGAAACGUGUAGAAACCGUUCCGCUUUUCCCUCUUCUUUUCUGAAGACUUGCACAGACGGUUUUCACAAACUGAUCAUCUGAAAAUUCUCAUUCUCCAACUUUAUAUUCUGCUAUUUUCUCCUUUCGUUUCACAACCAUUCAAAAAACUCUGAAAAACCUUCUUUGUUAAAGUUCUUCAAGUAUUCAAGUUUUAGUUGCUGCCAAGAAAUCAAGAAUUCUUGUGCGGCGCAAUUAGGAUCUCUAUCCCCGAGUUAAGUGUUAGUCAAGUUUGCUAUCAAAGGUUCGAGGCGAGGAGCAGGGAGAUGCGUGAUGGAUGUGUGUGGUGCUUAGGAUAUUUUAAUCAUGCUUUCUAUAGUUUUAUUAAAGACUCUUUGUUGGUUAAGAAAAAUUUAGGAUUUGAAGUAAGUUUAUUUUGAUGGUAAAGUUUAAGAAUUUCUAGUGAAUCAUAUUUGACUUUCUUAUAUAAUGUUAGGUACUUUGAUAAAUUAGUGUUAUGUUUUCAAUCUAGUGUGUAUGGUAUUUUUCUAAAAAUGAUAUUUGGUGGUUUUACCUUCGAUUAUUAGGUUCUCUACAGGGUUUUGAAAUUAGAUUAUUUGAGUUUUCAAUAUUUUUACGAAAAUACUAUAUGAUAUUUAAUUAGAUCAAAGUUUAUAUUUAGGGUGUUACAUUUAGUGGUAUCAGAGCAGGUCUACGUUUCUGUAGACUUG
Molecule: long non-coding RNA, 1041 nt
Organism: Salvia miltiorrhiza (redroot sage)
Lineage: Eukaryota; Viridiplantae; Streptophyta; Magnoliopsida; Lamiales; Lamiaceae
Exons: 3
Source: RefSeq, a predicted model, not a curated record